AGCCCCUCGAGUGGUGGGGAUGAUUAUUUGGCCUAAAGCGUCCGUAGCCAGCUUUGUAAAUCUCCCGUUAAAUCCAACGUCCUAAGCGUUGGGCUGCGAGAGACACUGCAGAACUAGAGGGUGGGAGAGGUCAGCGGUAUUCCUGGGGUAGGGGCGAAAUCCAUUGAUCCCAGGAGGACCACCAGUGGCGAAGGCUGCUGACUUGAACACGCCUGACGGUCAGGGACGAAAGCUGGGGUAGCGAAUCGGAUUAGAUACCCGAGUAGUCC
Molecule: ribosomal RNA, 269 nt
Filed under: uncultured archaeon
Lineage: Archaea
Description: partial 16S ribosomal RNA
Rfam family: Archaeal small subunit ribosomal RNA
Source: RNAcentral